This 72-nucleotide transfer RNA is filed under the name Campylobacter hyointestinalis. RNAcentral's name for it is "tRNA_Met_CAT". It matches the Rfam family "tRNA". Rfam says of the family: Transfer RNA (tRNA) molecules are approximately 80 nucleotides in length. Their secondary structure includes four short double-helical elements and three loops (D, anti-codon, and T loops). Further hydrogen bonds mediate the characteristic L-shaped molecular structure. tRNAs have two regions of fundamental functional importance: the anti-codon, which is responsible for specific mRNA codon recognition, and the 3' end, to which the tRNAs corresponding amino acid is attached (by aminoacyl-tRNA synthetases). tRNAs cope with the degeneracy of the genetic code in two manners: having more than one tRNA (with a specific anti-codon) for a particular amino acid; and 'wobble' base-pairing, i.e. permitting non-standard base-pairing at the 3rd anti-codon position. Lineage: Bacteria; Pseudomonadati; Campylobacterota; Epsilonproteobacteria; Campylobacterales; Campylobacteraceae. The record is from RNAcentral. RNAcentral also lists the same sequence under 6 other names.
CGCGAGAUAGAGCAGUGGUAGCUCGUCGGGCUCAUAACCCGAAGGUCGGAGGUUCAAGUCCUUCUCUCGCAA